RNAcentral lists this ribosomal RNA (497 nucleotides) under uncultured bacterium. RNAcentral's name for it is "partial 16S ribosomal RNA". It matches the Rfam family "Bacterial small subunit ribosomal RNA", at positions 28 to 507 of the family's 1533-position model. The record is from RNAcentral.
GAUGAACGCUGGCGGCGUGCCUAAUACAUGCAAGUCGAGCGAACAGACGAGGAGCUUGCUCCUCUGACGUUAGCGGCGGACGGGUGAGUAACACGUGGAUAACCUACCUAUAAGACUGGGAUAACUUCGGGAAACCGGAGCUAAUACCGGAUAAUAUAUUGACCCGCAUGGUUCAAUAGUGAAAGACGGUUUUGCUGUCACUUAUAUCUGGAUCCGCUCCGCAUUAGCUAGUUGGUAAGGUAACGGCUUACCAAGGCAACGAUGCGUAGCCGACCUGAGCGGGUGAUCGGCCACACUGGAACUGAGACACGGUCCAGACUCCUACGGGAGGCAGCAGUAGGGAAUCUUCCGCAAUGGGCGAAAGCCUGACGGAGCAACGCCGCGAGAGUGAUGAAGGUCUUCGGAUCGUAAGACCCUGUUAUUAGGGAAGAACAAAGGUGUAAGUAACUAUGCACGUCUUGACGGUACCUAAUCAGAAAGCCACGGCUAACUACGUG